GAAAAGAAACCAACAGGGAUUGCCCCAGUAACGGCGAGUGAAGCGGCAACAGCUCAAAUUUGAAAUCUGGCUUCGGCCCGAGUUGUAAUUUGCAGAGGAUGUAUUUGGCGCGGUGCCUUCCGAGUUCCCUGGAACGGGACGCCAUAGAGGGUGAGAGCCCCGUCUGGUUGGACACCAAGCCUAUGUAAUACUCCUUCAACGAGUCGAGUAGUUUGGGAAUGCUGCUCUAAAUGGGAGGUAAAUCUCUUCUAAAGCUAAAUACCGGCCAGAGACCGAUAGCGCACAAGUAGAGUGAUCGAAAGAUGAAAAGCACCUUGAAAAGGGGGUUAAACAGUACGUGAAAUUGUUGAAAGGGAAGCGUUUAUGACCAGACUUGUGCCGUGUGGCUCAUCCGGGGUUCUCCCCGGUGCACUCCAUACGGUUCAGGCCAACAUCGGUUCUCGUUGGGGGAUAAGAACAGUAGGAACGUGGCCCUCUUCGGAGGGUGUUAUAGCCUAUUGUACGAUACCCUGAUGGGGACCGAGGACCGCGCUUCGGCUAGGAUGUUGGCGUAAUGGUCAUUAGCGACCCGUCUU
Molecule: ribosomal RNA, 575 nt
Filed under: Melanconis betulae
Lineage: Eukaryota; Fungi; Ascomycota; Sordariomycetes; Diaporthales; Melanconidaceae
Description: eukaryotic LSU rRNA
Rfam family: Eukaryotic large subunit ribosomal RNA
Source: RNAcentral